CCUGAGAAACCCAAAAGAUCGAAUGGGGAGAUUCAUCGUCAGCUCAUUUUGUAUAUAUUUAAGUUAUGAUGUGGGUUACUACUUUGUAGUAUUGCCUGUACAUUCUUAUAUAUUUUGUUGCAAAAUGUUGUCGGCGUGCACUUCUCCCCUAGUAGGACGUCGCAACCUGUUGGGUGUCGGUCUACGGCCCAAGUGAUAGUCUUUAAUAUUAUAUUAAAGAUCCUUGGUGUUUUCUGACCGGCUACUUGGCAGUAAUCAAAUGGUAUUUAGCCGCUAAAUUUAUUAAGCGUUCAUAUCCGUCACAAGCGAGGCUAAUUUACUGAUAGUACGGACCUAGUGCCGUCGUUGGUAUUGGCCAGCUGUUGGUUGUAUGGUAUUCUAGAACUGGCUAAAAUUAAUUACCGGUUGGCGAUGCUACUGCUUUGGGUACUUUCAG
RNAcentral lists this ribosomal RNA (436 nucleotides) under Aleiodes darlingtonia. RNAcentral describes it as "LSU rRNA". Lineage: Eukaryota; Metazoa; Arthropoda; Insecta; Hymenoptera; Braconidae. The record is from RNAcentral.